This 503-nucleotide ribosomal RNA is filed under the name uncultured bacterium. Its description in RNAcentral is "partial 16S ribosomal RNA". It matches the Rfam family "Bacterial small subunit ribosomal RNA", at positions 30 to 523 of the family's 1533-position model. The record is from RNAcentral.
AUUGAACGCUGGCGGCAGGCUUAACACAUGCAAGUCGAGCGGGGUGAUGGUGCUUGCACUAUCGCUUAGCGGCGGACGGGUGAGUAAUGCUUAGGAAUCUGCCUAUUAGUGGGGGACAACAUCUCGAAAGGGAUGCUAAUACCGCAUACGUCCUACGGGAGAAAGCAGGGGAUCACUUGUGACCUUGCGCUAAUAGAUGAGCCUAAGUCGGAUUAGCUAGUUGGUGGGGUAAAGGCCUACCAAGGCGACGAUCUGUAGCGGGUCUAAGAGGAUGAUCCGCCAGACUGGGACUGAGACACGGCCCAGACUCCUACGGGAGGCAGCAGUGGGGAAUAUUGGACAAUGGGGGGAAUCCUGAUCCAGCCAUGCCGCGUGUGUGAAGAAGGCCUUAUGGUUGUAAAGCACUUUAAGCGAGGAGGAGGCUCUUUUGGUUAAUACCCAAGAUGAGUGGACGUUACUCGCAGAAUAAGCACCGGCUAACUCUGUGCCAGCCGCCGCGGUAA